CGGGGAGUACCUCAGUUGGUAGAGGCGCACUUUUGGGUGGUGCGUGUCGCGGGUUCGAAUCCCGCCUCCCCGA
RNAcentral lists this transfer RNA (73 nucleotides) under Planctomycetota bacterium. Its description in RNAcentral is "Planctomycetes bacterium tRNA-Pro". It matches the Rfam family "tRNA". Rfam says of the family: Transfer RNA (tRNA) molecules are approximately 80 nucleotides in length. Lineage: Bacteria; Pseudomonadati; Planctomycetota. The record is from RNAcentral.